Molecule: ribosomal RNA, 349 nt
Filed under: uncultured bacterium
Lineage: Bacteria
Description: bacterial SSU rRNA
Rfam family: Bacterial small subunit ribosomal RNA
Source: RNAcentral
GGGCCCGCACAAGCGGUGGAGCAUGUGGUUUAAUUCGAUGAUACGCGAGGAACCUUACCAGGGCUUAAAUGUAAGUUGCAUUAGUUAGAGAUAACUAUUUCUUCGGACCACUUACAAGGUGCUGCAUGGUUGUCGUCAGCUCGUGCCGUGAGGUGUCAGGUUAAGUCCUAUAACGAGCGCAACCCCUGUUGUUAGUUGCCAGCGAUUCAAGUCGGGAACUCUAACAAGACUGCCGGUGCAAACCGUGAGGAAGGUGGGGAUGACGUCAAAUCAUCACGGCCCUUACGUCCUGGGCUACACACGUGCUACAAUGGUAGGGACAAUGGGUUAAUCCCAAAAAGCUAUCUCA